RNAcentral lists this ribosomal RNA (457 nucleotides) under uncultured Lactobacillaceae bacterium. RNAcentral describes it as "bacterial SSU rRNA". It matches the Rfam family "Bacterial small subunit ribosomal RNA", at positions 724 to 1179 of the family's 1533-position model. The record is from RNAcentral. Lineage: Bacteria; Bacillati; Bacillota; Bacilli; Lactobacillales; Lactobacillaceae.
GCUGUCUGGUCUGUAAUUGACGCUGAGGCUCGAAAGCAUGGGUAGCAAACAGGAUUAGAUACCCUGGUAGUCCAUGCCGUAAACGAUGAAUACUAGGUGUUGGAGGGUUUCCGCCCUUCAGUGCCGCAGCUAACGCAUUAAGUAUUCCGCCUGGGGAGUACGACCGCAAGGUUGAAACUCAAAGGAAUUGACGGGGGCCCGCACAAGCGGUGGAGCAUGUGGUUUAAUUCGAAGCAACGCGAAGAACCUUACCAGGUCUUGACAUCUUCUGCUAAUUCAAGAGAUAGAACGUUCCCUUCGGGGACGGAAUGACAGGUGGUGCAUGGUUGUCGUCAGCUCGUGUCGUGAGAUGUUGGGUUAAGUCCCGCAACGAGCGCAACCCUUUUUGAUUAGUUGCCAGCAUUAAGUUGGGCACUCUAGUGAGACUGCCGGGUGACAAACCGGAGGAAGGUGGGGA